GACGAACGCUGGCGGCGUGCUUAACACAUGCAAGUCGAACGGAAAGGCCCUGCUUGCAGGGUACUCGAGUGGCGAACGGGUGAGUAGCACGUGGGUGAUCUGCCCUGCACUUCGGGAUAAGCCUGGGAAACUGGGUCUAAUACCGGAUAGGAGCCAUUUUUAGUGUGAUGGUUGGAAAGUUUUUUCGGUGUAGGAUGAGCUCGCGGCCUAUCAGCUUGUUGGUGGGGUAAUGGCCUACCAAGGCGGCGACGGGUAGCCGGCCUGAGAGGGUGGACGGCCACAUUGGGACUGAGAUACGGCCCAGACUCCUACGGGAGGCAGCAGUGGGGAAUAUUGCACAAUGGGCGCAAGCCUGAUGCAGCGACGCCGCGUGGGGGAUGACGGCCUUCGGGUUGUAAACUCCUUUCGCUAGGGACGAAGCUUUUUGUGACGGUACCUAGAUAAGAAGCACCGGCUAACUACGU
RNAcentral lists this ribosomal RNA (464 nucleotides) under uncultured bacterium. RNAcentral's name for it is "partial 16S ribosomal RNA". It matches the Rfam family "Bacterial small subunit ribosomal RNA", at positions 28 to 506 of the family's 1533-position model. The record is from RNAcentral.